This 428-nucleotide ribosomal RNA is filed under the name uncultured bacterium. RNAcentral describes it as "partial 16S ribosomal RNA". It matches the Rfam family "Bacterial small subunit ribosomal RNA", at positions 354 to 796 of the family's 1533-position model. The record is from RNAcentral.
GUCGAGAAUCUUCCGCAAUGCGCGAAAGCGUGACGGAGCGACACCGCGUGAUGGAUGAAGUCCUUCGGGGCGUAAACAUCUUUUAUAAAGGAGGAAAUUUUUGACGUUACUUUAUGAAUAAGGGGCUCCCAAUCUCGUGCCAGCAGGAGCGGUAAUACGAGAGCCUCAAGCGUUAUCCGGAAUCAUUGGGCGUAAAGGGUGCGUAGGUGGUUUGAUUAGUCUCCCGUUAAAACUUCGAGCUUAACUCGAAAAGAGCGGGGGAAACGGUCAAACUAGAGUAUGUGAGAGGUGUGUGGAACUCAUGGUGUAGGGGUGAAAUCCGUUGAUAUCAUGGUGAACACCAAAAGCGAAGGCAGCACACUGGCACAUCACUGACACUGAGGCACGAAACCUAAGGUAGCGAAUGGGAUUAGAAACCCCGGUAGUCC